CCUACGGGAGGCAGCAGUGGGGAAUUUUCCGCAAUGGGCGAAAGCCUGACGGAGCAACGCCGCGUGAGGGAUGAAGGCCUCUGGGCUGUAAACCUCUUUUAUCAAGGAAGAAGAUCUGACGGUACUUGAUGAAUAAGCCACGGCUAAUUCCGUGCCAGCAGCCGCGGUAAUACGGGAGUGGCAAGCGUUAUCCGGAAUUAUUGGGCGUAAAGCGUCCGCAGGCGGCUUUUCAAGUCUGCUGUUAAAGCGUGGAGCUUAACUCCAUCAUGGCAGUGGAAACUGAAAGGCUUGAGUAUGGUAGGGGCAGAGGGAAUUCCCGGUGUAGCGGUGAAAUGCGUAGAUAUCGGGAAGAACACCAGUGGCGAAGGCGCUCUGCUGGGCCAUUACUGACGCUCAUGGACGAAAGCCAGGGGAGCGAAAGGGAUUAGAUACCCCUGUAGUCCUGGCCGUAAACGAUGAACACUAGGUGUCGGGGGAAUCGACCCCUUCGGUGUCGUAGCUAACGCGUUAAGUGUUCCGCCUGGGGAGUACGCACGCAAGUGUGAAACUCAAAGGAAUUGACGG
RNAcentral lists this ribosomal RNA (564 nucleotides) under uncultured bacterium. RNAcentral describes it as "bacterial SSU rRNA". It matches the Rfam family "Bacterial small subunit ribosomal RNA", at positions 338 to 916 of the family's 1533-position model. The record is from RNAcentral.